Small nuclear RNA from Choloepus didactylus (southern two-toed sloth), 107 nucleotides. NCBI's taxonomy places the organism in Eukaryota, Metazoa, Chordata, Mammalia, Pilosa, Megalonychidae. The record is from RefSeq and is a predicted model, not a curated record.
GUGCUCUCUUUGGUAGCACAUACACUAAAAUUGGAAUGAAACAGAGAAGAUUAACAUGGCCCUCACACAAGGAUGACAUAUAAAUUCAUGAAGUGUUCCAUAUUUUC